UACGGAGGAUGCGAGCGUUAUCCGGAUUUAUUGGGUUUAAAGGGUGCGUAGGCGGGCUUUUAAGUCAGCGGUAAAAAUUCGGGGCUCAACCCCGUCCGGCCGUUGAAACUGGGGGCCUUGAGUGGGCGAGAAGAAGGCGGAAUGCGUGGUGUAGCGGUGAAAUGCAUAGAUAUCACGCAGAACCCCGAUUGCGAAGGCGGCCUUCCGGCGCCCUACUGACGCUGAGGCACGAAAGUGCGGGGAUCGAACAGG
RNAcentral lists this ribosomal RNA (252 nucleotides) under uncultured bacterium. RNAcentral describes it as "partial 16S ribosomal RNA". It matches the Rfam family "Bacterial small subunit ribosomal RNA", at positions 524 to 776 of the family's 1533-position model. The record is from RNAcentral.